GUGGAAAUACAUAUUAUCAUGGUUGCAAAUGAGUCUCAAGCUGAUAGUGUUCUUUUUGGAAAUGCUGGUGCUGUACCAGUUUUAUCUGCUGGAACAUCUGUCAUCCUUUCUUCUAUAGUUUCUCCUGGAUUUGUGAUCCACCUCAACAGAAGAUUAGAAGCUGAAUGCUGACAGAUAAAGUUGGUUGAUGCUCCAGUAUAUGGUGGUGUCAAAAGGGCGGCGGAUGGGACACUAACUGUA
Long non-coding RNA from Zea mays, 240 nucleotides. RefSeq lists it as uncharacterized. Lineage: Eukaryota; Viridiplantae; Streptophyta; Magnoliopsida; Poales; Poaceae. The transcript has 3 exons. The record is from RefSeq and is a predicted model, not a curated record.